This 76-nucleotide transfer-messenger RNA is filed under the name Phytophthora cinnamomi. Its description in RNAcentral is "PermutedNoCDS tmRNA". It matches the Rfam family "Mitochondrion-encoded tmRNA". The record is from Rfam by way of RNAcentral. Lineage: Eukaryota; Oomycota; Peronosporomycetes; Peronosporales; Peronosporaceae.
UAAAUGGACCCAGAGGCAGUUUUUGGUAUUUCCAUAUAAAUUAAAUGACUGGGGAUAAUAAUAGAAUUGACAUUUA